CCCAUUUAAAGAUCCAGGUCCUUGGAUUUUUCUGAUCUUGUUGAUGCCAACGCAUCAAGAUAUUGCUACCAUGCCCUUUAUGGUUGUUUUCUACACUUUUUCCUACUGAGGUGGGUAGUGAUGAAAUAGAUAUCUGUGGAAAUACUCCCUUUUUGGAAUGUUGGAUGAUGAGACUGAAGGAUGACUAAUAAUACCUGCACUUAAAUGAUCCCAUUACUGUAUCUUGAAUCCUAAAUUAGAUCUUGCCUACUACCUCCUCUCCAGACAAAUAUCAGUUAAGUAUGACAACUGUGGCUGAUCCCUCUUUGGAACAGGAUAGACUGGGUAACCUUUGUAGAAAAAUGCGUGUGGAACAAAGUGCUAUAUGUGACCUUUCUAAUAAGACUGACAAGAGAAAGUAAGUAUACAUCUCAUCAUUUUUCACCAUAUGGAAGAGCUGCUGCUCCCCCU
Long non-coding RNA from Cygnus olor (mute swan), 450 nucleotides. RefSeq lists it as uncharacterized. NCBI's taxonomy places the organism in Eukaryota, Metazoa, Chordata, Aves, Anseriformes, Anatidae. The record is from RefSeq and is a predicted model, not a curated record. The transcript has 3 exons.